UCUGAAGGAACUAGCUGUGUCCACACCUC
RNAcentral lists this non-coding RNA (29 nucleotides) under Mus musculus (house mouse). The record is from RNAcentral. Lineage: Eukaryota; Metazoa; Chordata; Mammalia; Rodentia; Muridae.